GACGAACGCUGGCGGCGUGCCUAAUACAUGCAAGUAGAACGCCGAAGGAGGAGCUUGCUUCUCUGGCGGAGUUGCGAACGGGUGAGUAACGCGUAGGUAACCUGCCCGGCAGCGGGGGAUAACUUAAGGAAACGAUAGCUAAUACCGCAUAAGAGUAGAUGUCGCAUGACAUGUGCGGAAAAGUUGCAACUGCAUCACUUGCAGAUGGAGCUGCUUUGUAUUAGGGUGGUGGUGAGGUAACGGCGCACCAAGGCAAAGGUACAGAGCCGAUGUGAGGGGGUGAUCAGCCACACUUGGACUGGGACACCGCCCAGACUCCCACGGGAAGCCGCAGUAGGGGAUCAUCGGCCAUUGGCGGCAGUCUUACCCCGCAACGCCUCGGUAGUGAAGAAGGGUUUCGGGUCGUAAAGCUCUGUUGUUAGGGAAGAACGAGUGUGAGGGUGGUAAGUUGACGCUGUGACGGUACCUUACCAAUAAGCACCGGCUAACUACGUG
This 495-nucleotide ribosomal RNA is filed under the name uncultured bacterium. RNAcentral's name for it is "partial 16S ribosomal RNA". It matches the Rfam family "Bacterial small subunit ribosomal RNA", at positions 28 to 507 of the family's 1533-position model. The record is from RNAcentral.